AAUAAGUACAGUUUUGCACUAUUCAUCUUCAACGUUUGAUCGUUCGUCUUAUUUGAAAAAAUUUUAUGAUUACUAUAUUUAUUGUUAUUAGAUGAUAAAACAUGAAUAGUACUUUAUGUGUGACUAUUUUUUUAAAAAAAAUUAUAAUUUUUUUAAAUAAGACGGACGGUCAAACGUUGGACACGGAUUUCCACGGUUGCACUUAUU
Molecule: non-coding RNA, 207 nt
Organism: Oryza glaberrima (African rice)
Lineage: Eukaryota; Viridiplantae; Streptophyta; Magnoliopsida; Poales; Poaceae
Source: Rfam